RNAcentral lists this ribosomal RNA (254 nucleotides) under uncultured bacterium. RNAcentral describes it as "partial 16S ribosomal RNA". It matches the Rfam family "Bacterial small subunit ribosomal RNA", at positions 524 to 776 of the family's 1533-position model. The record is from RNAcentral.
UACGUAGGGUGCGAGCGUUGUCCGGAAUUAUUGGGCGUAAAGAGCUCGUAGGUGGUUCGGUAAGUCGGAUGUGAAAUCUCCAGGCUCAACCUGGAGGGGUCAUUCGAUACUGCCGUGACUAGAGGUCGGUAGGGGAGUGUGGAAUUCCUGGUGGAGCGGUGAAAUGCGCAGAUAUCAGGAGGAACACCGGUGGCGAAGGCGGGUCUCUGGGCCGAUACUGACGCUGAGGAGCGAAAGCGUGGGGAGCGAACAGG